GGGGUGCUCGAGUGGCGAACGGGUGAGUAACACGUGAGUAACCUGCCCUUGACUUUGGGAUAACUUCAGGAAACUGGGGCUAAUACCGGAUAGGAGCUCCUGCUGCAUGGUGGGGGUUGGAAAGUUUCGGCGGUUGGGGAUGGACUCGCGGCUUAUCAGCUUGUUGGUGGGGUAGUGGCUUACCAAGGCUUUGACGGGUAGCCGGCCUGAGAGGGUGACCGACCACAUUGGGACUGAGAUACGGCCCAG
This 249-nucleotide ribosomal RNA is filed under the name uncultured Actinomycetales bacterium. RNAcentral's name for it is "partial 16S ribosomal RNA". It matches the Rfam family "Bacterial small subunit ribosomal RNA", at positions 84 to 334 of the family's 1533-position model. The record is from RNAcentral. Lineage: Bacteria; Bacillati; Actinomycetota; Actinomycetes; Actinomycetales.